Molecule: ribosomal RNA, 253 nt
Filed under: uncultured bacterium
Lineage: Bacteria
Description: partial 16S ribosomal RNA
Rfam family: Bacterial small subunit ribosomal RNA
Source: RNAcentral
UACGAAGGGGGCUAGCGUUGCUCGGAAUCACUGGGCGUAAAGCGCACGUAGGCGGCUUUCUAAGUCAGGGGUGAAAUCCUGGAGCUCAACUCCAGAACUGCCUUUGAUACUGGGAAGCUCGAGUCCGGGAGAGGUGAGUGGAACUGCGAGUGUAGAGGUGAAAUUCGUAGAUAUUGGGAAGAACACCAGUGGCGAAGGCGGCUAACUGGUCCGGUACUGACGCUGAGGUGCGAAAGCGUGGGGAGCAAACAGG